Long non-coding RNA from Lactuca sativa (garden lettuce), 689 nucleotides. RefSeq lists it as uncharacterized. Lineage: Eukaryota; Viridiplantae; Streptophyta; Magnoliopsida; Asterales; Asteraceae. The record is from RefSeq and is a predicted model, not a curated record.
UUUUUUUGAGUUUUGAAGAAUCAACGAAGAGUGAAAGGAAAAAUAAGAUGUCUUGCAGAAAAAAAAAAGGUGAAAAUGAGCUUUAUGCUUCUCUGGGGAGUCAGCCGUGGCGAUGGACGACGGUGAGAUCUCUGAUGGAGUCCGACGUGAACUACAAAUGGUUUCUCACACAGCGAAAGUCAAAUUCAACUUCCAAAUUGGCUGCCGAUGAUGAAAUUUUAGGAACAAAUUAGAGGUUGUUAAUAAGCUUUCCACCUCAAUACAAUGAGUUAUAGAGAUAGUUGUUUGGUCCAGAUCAGCUGAAGACAAUCACUAGUUUUGAAAACGAAGGCAUUGUCGGAGAUGAUGGUGUUGCCGGAGCAGUUGGCUGCCGUCAGAACCUGCUCAUGGACUGUCGGGUUGUGUGAUUUAGGUUUCGUAAAGAUGAGGUUUGGGCUACUUCAAGAUGUGGAUCUUAAAAGUAUUGAAAGAAAACAAACUACCAACCCCCAACCCACUAGGCUGUAAACAAAUCCUAAGUUCAGUGAAUUGUUUGUGAACCGUUCGGCGAAAAGUUCGUUUAUGCGUUUAUUUAAUAAAUGUACGAACAUGAACACAAAUUCUCUUUCAUUUAGUUAAAUGAACGGACAUGAACAAUGGUCUUGUUCGUUCAAUUCUGUUUAUGAAAAUUCAUUUAUGUUGUUCAUUUA